RNAcentral lists this transfer RNA (74 nucleotides) under Buchnera aphidicola (Aphis nasturtii). Its description in RNAcentral is "tRNA-Val". It matches the Rfam family "tRNA". Rfam says of the family: Transfer RNA (tRNA) molecules are approximately 80 nucleotides in length. Their secondary structure includes four short double-helical elements and three loops (D, anti-codon, and T loops). RNAcentral also lists the same sequence under 1 other name. Lineage: Bacteria; Pseudomonadati; Pseudomonadota; Gammaproteobacteria; Enterobacterales; Erwiniaceae. The record is from RNAcentral.
ACGUUCGUAGCUCAAUUGGUUAGAGCACCACUAUGACAUAGUGGUGGUUAGUGGUUCAAGUCCACUCGAACGUA